This 591-nucleotide ribosomal RNA is filed under the name uncultured bacterium. RNAcentral describes it as "bacterial SSU rRNA". It matches the Rfam family "Bacterial small subunit ribosomal RNA", at positions 195 to 804 of the family's 1533-position model. The record is from RNAcentral.
CUGCGGGAAAAGGAUUUAUUCGCUUCAGGAUGGACUCGCGUCCAAUUAGCUAGUUGGUGAGGUAACGGCCCACCAAGGCGACGAUUGGUAGCCGGACUGAGAGGUUGAACGGCCACAUUGGGACUGAGACACGGCCCAGACUCCUACGGGAGGCAGCAGUGGGGGAUAUUGCACAAUGGGGGAAACCCUGAUGCAGCGACGCCGCGUGGAGGAAGAAGGUUUUCGGAUUGUAAACUCCUGUCGUUAGGGACGAUAAUGACGGUACCUAACAAGAAAGCACCGGCUAACUACGUGCCAGCAGCCGCGGUAAAACGUAGGGUGCAAGCGUUGUCCGGAAUUACUGGGUGUAAAGGGAGCGCAGGCGGACCGGCAAGUUGGAAGUGAAAACUAUGGGCUCAACCCAUAAAUUGCUUUCAAAACUGCUGGCCUUGAGUAGUGCAGAGGUAGGUGGAAUUCCCGGUGUAGCGGUGGAAUGCGUAGAUAUCGGGAGGAACACCAGUGGCGAAGGCGACCUACUGGGCACCAACUGACGCUGAGGCUCGAAAGCAUGGGUAGCAAACAGGAUUAGAUACCCUGGUAGUCCAUGCCGUA